Long non-coding RNA from Olea europaea var. sylvestris, 820 nucleotides. RefSeq lists it as uncharacterized. Lineage: Eukaryota; Viridiplantae; Streptophyta; Magnoliopsida; Lamiales; Oleaceae. The transcript has 4 exons. The record is from RefSeq and is a predicted model, not a curated record.
CUCUGAGAGCUGCUGCUGCAACAGUGAAGCAAGAGGAUGAUCGACGACUAUUUCACAACGCAGCUCUCCGGAAGCGUAGGAAGGAAGCAAGUGACCACAGGGAAAAUGGAGAUGUUCCGUCUGAAAAUGGGUCACAUAAAGGUGUGCAAUAUCCUUUUUCAGUGAAUGAGAAGGUUCUUAUUAAGGGAAACAGGAGGACACCUGAUAAAUUUGUUGGCAAGGAAGCAGUAAUAACAUCAGUGUGUCUUAAUGGCUGGUAUUUGCUUAAGAUUAUUGAGAGUGGAGAAAAUGUUCGACUACAGUACCGUUCUUUAAGAAAGUUUCCCACGUCCCACGACUCCGAGGGCAGAUGUACAUCACAGCCAGUUCAGAACAGCAGCUGAUGCCUCCUUGAUAUUGUGACUUAAAUAUUGGGAUCACUUCCCAGUAUUCUACUCAAGGUUGGAAUUGUGGGAUAUAGUUAUUAUUUAAGUUGUCAGCAUAGAACUGGAAAUUGGAUAACGAGAGUCUGUAUAAAUGUUUGAGUUUCUGGUAGAAUCUUAUAAGGGGAAAAAAAAAAAGAAAAAAAAAAGAAAAAGAAACCCACUUUCUUGGUGAUGAAAAAAUGAUACUGGAGCCUCAAUUAUCUGUAACGUCUGUUUUGAUAUAAAUUAAAGGCAGACUAUUGGUUCCUGUUCCUUUCUUCCAUGGCUGUACUUUUAACCCUUAAGGAUGGUUCCCGUUGUUUCCAUUAUUUAAUAGGUGAAUAGUUCACUUUCAGAAAACUCUUUGACUGAUACACCUUUUAGCAUAUUUAACAUAUGGAGGAGCUUCUUUUUCA